AGAGCAUGGCAGGCGUGGGGGACGUGCCCCGAAGACCCGGGGACCCACACAUCUGGACAUUGGAGGAGCAUUCUCGGAACUUGACGUUGGGCAAACGAGGAAGCAAGCCGCUCUGCCCCAGAACUUCGCCAUUUUCUGCCUCUCCUCGUGCCUCAGCAGCGCUCACGGACGGAAUGCUGAGGGCUCUCCCUGCGGUCACAACUCUGUGUUCGGCUUAAUGAUACGGGGAACUGCAGAUGAGGUCAGCGGGAGAGAAGAGGUCACGACCCGGUGACGUGCUGCCUUAACUCCUAGAUGCUUCACGCUAUUCGCGCCUACAUUUAAUGAAGGCAGCGCCAUGCCUUAAAAUACAUCUAAAAAUAAAUGUGUCCCACUCUC
This is a long non-coding RNA of Prionailurus viverrinus (fishing cat), 378 nucleotides long. RefSeq lists it as uncharacterized. The transcript is spliced from 3 exons. The record is from RefSeq and is a predicted model, not a curated record. NCBI's taxonomy places the organism in Eukaryota, Metazoa, Chordata, Mammalia, Carnivora, Felidae.